UACAGGGGGGGCAAGCGUUGUUCGGAAUUACUGGGCGUAAAGGGCUCGUAGGUGGCCAACUAAGUCGGACGUGAAAUCCCUCAGCUUAACUGGGGAACUGCAUCCGAUACUGGGUGGCUUGAGUUUGGGAGAGGGAUGCGGAAUUCCAGGUGUAGCGGUGAAAUGCGUAGAUAUCUGGAGGAACACCGGUGGCGAAGGCGGCAUCCUGGACCAACACUGACACUGAGGAGCGAAAGCCAGGGGAGCAAACGGG
Molecule: ribosomal RNA, 253 nt
Filed under: uncultured bacterium
Lineage: Bacteria
Description: partial 16S ribosomal RNA
Rfam family: Bacterial small subunit ribosomal RNA
Source: RNAcentral